GCGAGGUGGAGCUAAUCUCACAAACCUGAUCGUAGUCCGGAUUGCAGGCUGCAACUCGCCUGCAUGAAGUCGGAAUCGCUAGUAAUCGCGGAUCAGCAUGUCGCGGUGAAUACGUUCCCGGGUCUUGUACACACCGCCCGUCACACCAUGGGAGUGGGUUUUACCAGAAGUAGUUAGUCUAACCGCAAGGAGGGCGAUUACCACGGUAGGAUUCAUGACUGGGGUGAAGUCGUAACAAGGUAGCCGUAGCGGAAGCUGUGGCUGGAUCACCUCCUUUAAGAG
RNAcentral lists this ribosomal RNA (282 nucleotides) under Taylorella equigenitalis. RNAcentral's name for it is "partial 16S ribosomal RNA". It matches the Rfam family "Bacterial small subunit ribosomal RNA", at positions 1257 to 1533 of the family's 1533-position model. Lineage: Bacteria; Pseudomonadati; Pseudomonadota; Betaproteobacteria; Burkholderiales; Alcaligenaceae. The record is from RNAcentral.